CACCGGCGGCUCGAGUGGUGGCCACUUUUAUUGGGUCUAAAGCGUCCGUAGCCGGCUUGGCAAGUCCCCUGGGAAAUCUGGCAUCUCAAGUGUCAGGCUGCCAGGGGAUACUGGUCGGCUUGGGACCGGGAGAGGUGAGAGGUACCUCGGGGGUAGGGGUGAAAUCCUGUAAUCCUGGGAGGACCACCUGUGGCGAAGGCGUCCAGCUGGAACGAACCUGACGGUGAGGGACGAAAGCCAGGGGCGCGAACCGG
RNAcentral lists this ribosomal RNA (254 nucleotides) under uncultured microorganism. RNAcentral's name for it is "partial 16S ribosomal RNA". It matches the Rfam family "Archaeal small subunit ribosomal RNA", at positions 474 to 727 of the family's 1478-position model. The record is from RNAcentral.